UAUUAAAAAUUUCAUCCAUUUUUACUAUUAAAAAUCAAUGUGGCUAAUAAAACAACUAGAUAGGUGUACCUUAUGCUAAUGUAUAAUGACCAAUUUUUAAUAGUAAAAAUAUAUGAAAUUUUUAAUC
Gossypium arboreum is the source of this 127-nucleotide non-coding RNA. Lineage: Eukaryota; Viridiplantae; Streptophyta; Magnoliopsida; Malvales; Malvaceae. The record is from Rfam.